AUCUAUAGAUCUAGAUCAACAUCAACCUACAGUAUACCAUUGUCUGACUAUCCUCAACCAUCGCCAACUCCGUCUAGUGUG
Non-coding RNA from Caenorhabditis elegans, 81 nucleotides. The record is from Ensembl. Lineage: Eukaryota; Metazoa; Nematoda; Chromadorea; Rhabditida; Rhabditidae.